RNAcentral lists this ribosomal RNA (467 nucleotides) under uncultured Polymorphobacter sp. RNAcentral describes it as "bacterial SSU rRNA". It matches the Rfam family "Bacterial small subunit ribosomal RNA", at positions 19 to 525 of the family's 1533-position model. Lineage: Bacteria; Pseudomonadati; Pseudomonadota; Alphaproteobacteria; Sphingomonadales; Sphingosinicellaceae. The record is from RNAcentral.
CUGGCUCAGAACGAACGCUGGCGGCAUGCCUAACACAUGCAAGUCGAACGGGCACCUUCGGGUGUCAGUGGCGCACGGGUGCGUAACGCGUGGGAAUCUGCCCCGGGGUACGGAAUAACUCAGGGAAACUUGAGCUAAUACCGUAUGAUGUCGCAAGACCAAAGAUUUAUCGCCCUGGGAUGAGCCCGCGUGGGAUUAGCUAGUUGGUGGGGUAAAGGCCUACCAAGGCGACGAUCCCUAGCUGGUCUGAGAGGAUGAUCAGCCACACUGGGACUGAGACACGGCCCAGACUCCUACGGGAGGCAGCAGUGGGGAAUAUUGGACAAUGGGCGAAAGCCUGAUCCAGCAAUGCCGCGUGAGUGAAGAAGGGCCUUCGGGGUUGUAAAGCUCUUUUGCCCCGGGGAUGAUAAUGACGUACCGGGGAGAAUAAGCCCCGGGCUAACUCCGUGCCAGCAGCCGCGGGUAAC